RNAcentral lists this ribosomal RNA (771 nucleotides) under Pseudomonas sp. TGR1-2. Its description in RNAcentral is "bacterial SSU rRNA". It matches the Rfam family "Bacterial small subunit ribosomal RNA", at positions 67 to 833 of the family's 1533-position model. Lineage: Bacteria; Pseudomonadati; Pseudomonadota; Gammaproteobacteria; Pseudomonadales; Pseudomonadaceae. The record is from RNAcentral.
CGGUAGAGAGGUGCUUGCACCUCUUGAGAGCGGCGGACGGGUGAGUAAAGCCUAGGAAUCUGCCUGGUAGUGGGGGAUAACGCUCGGAAACGGACGCUAAUACCGCAUACGUCCUACGGGAGAAAGCAGGGGACCUUCGGGCCUUGCGCUAUCAGAUGAGCCUAGGUCGGAUUAGCUAGUUGGUGAGGUAAUGGCUCACCAAGGCGACGAUCCGUAACUGGUCUGAGAGGAUGAUCAGUCACACUGGAACUGAGACACGGUCCAGACUCCUACGGGAGGCAGCAGUGGGGAAUAUUGGACAAUGGGCGAAAGCCUGAUCCAGCCAUGCCGCGUGUGUGAAGAAGGUCUUCGGAUUGUAAAGCACUUUAAGUUGGGAGGAAGGGUUGUAGAUUAAUACUCUGCAAUUUUGACGUUACCGACAGAAUAAGCACCGGCUAACUCUGUGCCAGCAGCCGCGGUAAUACAGAGGGUGCAAGCGUUAAUCGGAAUUACUGGGCGUAAAGCGCGCGUAGGUGGUUCGUUAAGUUGGAUGUGAAAUCCCCGGGCUCAACCUGGGAACUGCAUUCAAAACUGUCGAGCUAGAGUAUGGUAGAGGGUGGUGGAAUUUCCUGUGUAGCGGUGAAAUGCGUAGAUAUAGGAAGGAACACCAGUGGCGAAGGCGACCACCUGGACUGAUACUGACACUGAGGUGCGAAAGCGUGGGGAGCAAACAGGAUUAGAUACCCUGGUAGUCCACGCCGUAAACGAUGUCAACUAGCCGUUGGGAGCCUU